ACUCCUACGGGAGGCAGCUCUGGGGAAUCUUGGACAAUGGGGGCAACCCUGAUCCAGCCAUGCCGCGUGAGUGAUGAAGGCCUUAGGGUCGUAAAGCUCUUUCGCCUGUGAAGAUAAUGACGGUAGCAGGUAAAGAAACCCCGGCUAACUCCGUGCCAGCAGCCGCGGUAAUACGGAGGGGGUUAGCGUUGUUCGGAAUUACUGGGCGUAAAGCGCACGUAGGCGGACUGGAAAGUUGGGGGUGAAAUCCCAGGGCUCAACCCUGGAACUGCCUCCAAAACUAUCAGUCUAGAGUUCGAGAGAGGUGAGUGGAAUUCCGAGUGUAGAGGUGAAAUUCGUAGAUAUUCGGAGGAACACCAGUGGCGAAGGCGGCUCACUGGCUCGAUACUGACGCUGAGGUGCGAAAGUGUGGGGAGCAAACAGGAUUAGAUACCCUGGUAGUCCACACCGUAAACGAUGAAUGCCAGUCGUCGGGUAGCAUGCUAUUCGGUGACACACCUAACGGAUUAAGCAUUCCGCCUGGGGAGUACGGUCGCAAGAUUAAAACUCAAAGGAAUUGACGGGGGCCCGCACAAGCGGUGGAGCAUGUGGUUUAAUUUCUAAGCAACGCGCAGAACCUUACCAACCCUUGACAUCCUAGGACCGGCCCAGAGAUGGGUCUUUCACUUCGGUGACCUAGUGACAGGUGCUGCAUGGCUGUCGUCAGCUCGUGUC
Molecule: ribosomal RNA, 714 nt
Filed under: Ruegeria sp. AD91
Lineage: Bacteria; Pseudomonadati; Pseudomonadota; Alphaproteobacteria; Rhodobacterales; Roseobacteraceae
Description: bacterial SSU rRNA
Rfam family: Bacterial small subunit ribosomal RNA
Source: RNAcentral